Molecule: long non-coding RNA, 1592 nt
Organism: Gorilla gorilla gorilla (western lowland gorilla)
Lineage: Eukaryota; Metazoa; Chordata; Mammalia; Primates; Hominidae
Exons: 2
Source: RefSeq, a predicted model, not a curated record
CUUGUCCACCCCACCUCAGCUUGGUGAGGAGAAAGCUCAGCGCUUUCCCCAGUGCUUCCAUGACCUUUGGCCAGUAAAGACUUAAAAUAUCAUAUCAUAAGAUGAGAGAAACCAGUUGGAACUUAACUUCUAUCCCGUAUCCUUAGAUUAUUCAAAGAAAAACAAAACACGGUCAACAGGCAGUGGAACUCCUCACUCCAGUGUGAUAUUCCUGAGAGAAUAUUGACUUAUAGUCACUUCAUCUCUGGGACAAGUAUUGAACAUAGGGGAAGCCUUAUAUAAAAUUGUUCAAUAAACAAAAGAUGUCUUUAACAUGUGUUUGAGAUCUUUCUUCUCAUGAUUCCAUGUUAGGUACAACAACUAUGACCGGGCUGUCAUCAAUACCGUUCCUUAUGAUGUCGUCCAUCGCUGGUAUACAGCACACCGGACUCUAACGAUAGAGUUGAGGAGACCUGAGAAUGAGUUUUGGGUCAAACUAAAGCCUGGCAGGGUCCUAUUUAUAGACAACUGGCGUGUCCUACAUGGCAGGGAAUGCUUCACUGGCUACCGCCAACUCUGUGGCUGCUAUUUAACAAGAGAUGAUGUAUUAAACACUGCUCGCCUCUUGGGGCUUCAGGCUUAAAAUUGACAGCAUCUGGAUUAUGAAUACACCUGGCACCCUGGCUACCAGAAUUUCAUAUGGGCAGAAUAAUAUUGUGUCAAACUCUACUUCAGAUUGUCUCCUUAUCCCAUCCCACAAAACAGAAUCUGUCCGUUUCUCUAGUAAGGGAGACUUGUUGGAGAGGGGGGACUCUGAGUUAUCUAAUGUCAGACAUCUAGUGGGGCAGCUCUCUUCCUCAUGUUAUAACAUGGAUCCACUUGUUUUAUUUAAACCUUUUAAUAUAAUUUUGGUCAGUCUCCUUCAGAAAUAUAAUCUCCAUAUUGAUAGGAAAGCAAUAAUUGCCAUGAGGUAACGAUUUUUUUUCCUCAGUAGAUCAGUUAGAAAGAAAUGCAUUCCAGAAAUAACAAAAAUCCUGAUAAAGCAACAAUUUGCAAAAUGUUUGGUCUUAGGACACCUUAACACUCUCAAAAGUUAUUGAAGGCCCCAAGGAGUUCUUGGGUGUGGGUUCUAUCUAUUGAUACUAAUUAUUUUAGGUAUUAAGACUGAGAAAUAUUUAAAACUCAAGAAGAACACAGAAGCACACAUCCCUCAGCUAUCAGAGAGAUGACAUAACCAUAUGUCAUGUAGCCUCUGGAAAAGUCCUCUGUAUCCUCAUGAGAUAACGAGAGGGGGAUAAAAAGCUACUACUGCCUUUGUAACUUCCACUUAGCCUACUACAGGGCUAUGCACAUCUUAGUUUCCAAAAGUCUGCUUAAUUUCAAAAGAAAAAUGCCUAAUUGAAUGUAACUCAUCUUGGCGUUAUUAUACAAAAUAAUGUUUAAUCUGCAGACCCACGAAAAGGGUCUCAGGGACUCCUCCAGGGGUCUUCAGACCAUACUUUGAGAACCCAUGGGCUAGCGACUACCUUGAGACAGUCCUUUACCUAGGCCUGUGGAUUAAAGGGUUUAGCUGAAACCCUAGAUUCUUCUCUAUAGUCCAAUAGAACUCCAAA